RNAcentral lists this small nuclear RNA (143 nucleotides) under Cervus elaphus hippelaphus. RNAcentral describes it as "U2 spliceosomal RNA". It matches the Rfam family "U2 spliceosomal RNA". Rfam says of the family: U2 is a small nuclear RNA (snRNA) component of the spliceosome (involved in pre-mRNA splicing). Complementary binding between U2 snRNA (in an area lying towards the 5' end but 3' to hairpin I) and the branchpoint sequence (BPS) of the intron results the bulging out of an unpaired adenosine, on the BPS, which initiates a nucleophilic attack at the intronic 5' splice site, thus starting the first of two transesterification reactions that mediate splicing. The record is from Rfam by way of RNAcentral. RNAcentral also lists the same sequence under 1 other name. Lineage: Eukaryota; Metazoa; Chordata; Mammalia; Artiodactyla; Cervidae.
AUUGCUUCCCUGUCUUUUGGCUAAGAUCAAGUGUAGUAUCAGUUAUCAGUUUAAUAGCUGAUACGCCCUCAUCAUGCGAAAUGCCAGGCUGUAUGAAGUACAAGUUGGAAUCAGGAUUGCCUGGAUAAAUAUCAGUAACCUCA